This 228-nucleotide ribosomal RNA is filed under the name uncultured bacterium. RNAcentral describes it as "partial 16S ribosomal RNA". It matches the Rfam family "Bacterial small subunit ribosomal RNA", at positions 524 to 751 of the family's 1533-position model. The record is from RNAcentral.
UACGGAGGGGGCUAGCGUUGUUCGGAAUUACUGGGCGUAAAGCGCACGUAGGCGGCUUUGUAAGUUAGAGGUGAAAGCCCAGGGCCUAACCCUGGAAUUGCCUUUAAGACUGCAUCGCUAGAAUCGUGGAGAGGUGAGUGGAAUUCCGAGUGUAGAGGUGAAAUUCGUAGAUAUCGGAAGAACACCAGUGGCGAAGGCGACUCACUGGACACGUAUUGACGCGUGAGG